CAUGUAGGCGGUUGUUUAAGUCUGAUGUGAAAGCCCUGGGCUCAACCCAGGAAGUGCAUUGGAUACUGGACGACUUGAGUACGGGAGAGGAAAGUGGAAUUUCGAGUGUAGGGGUGAAAUCCGUAGAUAUUCGAAGGAACACCAGUGGCGAAGGCGGCUUUCUGGACCGAUACUGACGCUGAGAUGCGAAAGCGUGGGGAGCAAACA
Molecule: ribosomal RNA, 207 nt
Filed under: uncultured bacterium
Lineage: Bacteria
Description: partial 16S ribosomal RNA
Rfam family: Bacterial small subunit ribosomal RNA
Source: RNAcentral